Molecule: ribosomal RNA, 423 nt
Filed under: uncultured bacterium
Lineage: Bacteria
Description: bacterial SSU rRNA
Rfam family: Bacterial small subunit ribosomal RNA
Source: RNAcentral
GGAAUUUUGGACAAUGGGCGCAAGCCUGAUCCCGCCAUGCCGCGUGAGUGAAGAAGGCCUUCGGGUUGUAAAGCUCUUUCGGCGGGGACGAAACGGUCCGUGCUAACACCACGGACUAAUUACGGUACUCGCAGAAGAAGCACCGGCUCACUACGUGCCACCAGCCGCGGGAAUACGUAGGGUGCAGGCGUUAAUCGGACUUACUGGGCGUAAAGCGUGCGCAGGCGGCUCCUUAAGUCAGAUGUGAAAGCCCCGGGCUUAACCUGGGAACUGCGUUUGAAACUGGGGAGCUAGAGUGUGGAAGAGGGGGGUGGAAUUCCAGGUGUAGCAGUGAAAUGCGUAGAGAUCUGGAGGAACACCGAUGGCGAAGGCAGCCCCCUGGGCUAACACUGACGCUCAUGCACGAAAGCGUGGGGAGCAAAC